RNAcentral lists this ribosomal RNA (1647 nucleotides) under Triticum aestivum (bread wheat). RNAcentral describes it as "partial small subunit ribosomal RNA". Lineage: Eukaryota; Viridiplantae; Streptophyta; Magnoliopsida; Poales; Poaceae. The record is from RNAcentral.
AUGUGCACCGCACUCGCAUCCAAGCCUUCAUUCUCCACAAUCCACACUGCACACGCCAGCACGCCCGGCGACGCACCCGGCGUCCUCCGCACCGUGACCGAGCGGCGCUUCACGGCCAUGGAUCCACCGCUGAGCCAGCAGCCCACGCUGCUGGCGCUCUCGCUGCUCCUCCUGGCCCUGUACCUGGCGCGCCACGCCCUGCUCGGCAAGCGACGGAACUACCCGCCAGUGGCCGGCACCAUGCUCCACCAGCUCUUCAACUUCGGCCGCCUGGCCGAGUACCAGACGGAGCUCUCCCAGAGGUACCGCACCUUCCGCAUGCUCACCCCGACCUGCAACUACGUGUACACCGUCGAGCCCGCCAACGUCGAGUACAUCCUCCGCACCAACUUCGCCAACUACGGCAAGGGCACCAUGACCCACGACGUGCUGGAGGACCUCCUCGGCGACGGCAUCUUCAACGUGGACGGCGCCAUGUGGCGGCACCAGCGCAAGGUCGCGAGCUUCGAGUUCUCCACCCGGGUGCUCCGCGAGUACAGCAGCGGCGUGUUCCGGGACCACGGCCGCCGAGCUCGCGGGCAUCGUGGCCGCCGCCGCCGCCGCCGGGGAGAGGGUGGACAUGCACGAUCUGUUCAUGCGGUCGACGCUGGACUCGAUCUCUUCACGAUUGGGUUCGGAGUCAACCUGGGCGGGCUGUCCCAGUCCAGCCAGGAGAGCGCGGCGUUCGCCCGGGCGUUCGACGACGCCAACGAGCAGGUGCUGUACCGGUUCUUCGACCCGCUCUGGAAGGCCAAGAGGCUCCUCAACGUCUCGUCGGAGGCGGCCAUGAAGCGGUCGGUGCGCACCAUCAACGACUUCGUGUACGCCGUCAUCGACAAGAAGGUCGAGCAGAUGGGCAGAGAUGAACACGAAUUCGCCAAGAAAGAGGACAUACUGUCGAGAUUCCUGCUGGAGAGGGAGAAAGACCCCGGCUGCUUCGACAACAAGUACCUCCGGGACAUCAUACUGAACUUCGUGAUCGCCGGCCGCGACACGUCGGCGGGGACGCUGUCGUGGUUCCUCUACGUGCUGUGCAGCAACCAGCGCAUCCAGGACAAAAUCGCGAGGGAGGUGCGCGAGGCCACCAGCGGCGACCGGGACGUCGGCGUCCAAGAACUCACGGCGUGCCUGACAGAAGACGCCAUCAGCAACAUGCCGUACCUCCACGCCGCGCUGACGGAGACCCUCCGGCUGUACCCGGCGGUGCCCAUCGAUGUCAAGUACUGCUUUUCUGAUGACACGCUGCCGGACGGCCACGCCGUGAGGAAAGGGGACAUGGUGAACUACCAGCCGUACCCGAUGGGCAGGAUGAAGUUCCUGUGGGGCGACGACGCCGAGGAGUUCAGGCCGGAUCGGUGGCUCGACGGCGACGGCGUGUUCGUCCCGGAGAGCCCCUACAAGUUCACGGCAUUCCAGGCGGGGCCUCGGAUCUGCCUGGGGAAGGAGUUUGCGUACAGGCAGAUGAAGAUAUUUGCGGCUGUUCUUCUCUGCCUCUACAGAUUUGAGAUGUGGGAGCGCGACUCGAUGAUGGGGUACCGCCCGAUGCUCACGCUUAAAAUGGAUGGCCCGCUCCGUGUUCGUGUGUCGCCCCGGCGAGCAAGCGGGUAG